UUUUUUCUUUGAUAUGAUGGAUUUUUCUUCAGAUUGUUUAUUUGAUGGAACUAUGUUAUUGGGCUGCUGAGUUUCUCUCUUUGCGUUAUAUAACUGCAACCAAUUCCUGCUUAAUUUGCGUCUUUAACAGUAGAUUUCACUGCCAGAACUGGUUUCCUUUAAUCUUGAUUCUGCCAGAACUGGUUUCCUUUAAUCUUGAUUCUUUCUUGUUUACAUUAACCUUUGGGCGCAUCUAGGAAUAAAAGGAUAUCCAAGAAUCUUAUUUCUACUUAUCCUAUUACUAAGAAUGUGGCAUUUCGGUGUUUGGUUCGUAUGGUUAUAUUAUUUAGUCAUAUAUUAGUUAAUCAUAUUAUUUAAGAUUAAGAAAAAUAUAUAUUUAAUUUAUUUGUUUUGUUAAUUAAUUUCAGAUAAUGCUAUAAAAAAUUUCAACAUCAUUUUAGAAAAAAAUGAUAGAGAACAUAGAUUAGAGAGCGAGUAUAAUCAAAGAAAUAGGGAGAAAGAUACAGCCGAAAUUGGAGGGAGUGAGAGAGUUGAAAUUUUAGAAAAAGUGGGGGAAAGAGAUCUUAGCUUAGAGAGAGAAAGAGAGUUAAAACUUAGAGGGAGAAAGAUAAGCUUAGAGAGAGAUAUGAGGUUAGAGAGUAAAAGAAAACAAUACCAACUAGCCGGCGAGUGAGGAGAAAGAAAAAGAUUAAACAUAUUAUGAUUAUUCCAAUCUAUUAAUAUGAUGACACCCACCCUCCCUUAAAGGAAUGAGAUUAGUAUUUUAGGAUGAAUCCCACUCUUAAGUAAAUUCAACAUUACCAACUAAAUUAUUUAGUGCGUUUAGCUAAACACCGUUAUGUUUUUUUAUUCCUAUUGGAUUAUUAGGAAUCUUAAAAAGAUAGCGUGAACCAAACGCACGCUUUGACAAAAGAAUCCUAGCCGCUGUUAGAUAAUAUCGAUUCAUGCAUAAUGCAGCUAUUUUGCUUAUAAACAAUGUAUCUCGAAUGGGAGCAAACCAACUAGAAUAUAUAAAGCUUGCUUGUAUGGCAACACUUGGAUUUUCAGGAUAGUUGAGAUUAUGGUAUUGGUUUUACCAUGAACUUUUUUCUCCCAAUCUUGAUUUCAUAGUUAUAGAAGAAGCAUCAUAUAUACGUAUGCCUUGAUAGGCCUUUACUUGUAAAGUUUUACUUGUGUUCGACUUUUCCUAAUUGCUUGCUUGCUGUGAAAAGUGCACUAAAGGAGUAUGGCAUUUCAUGUGAGCUCAAUUUGGUAGGAGAUCAAUUUGCAUGAAUGUUUUGGUUUUCUCCUUACUGAUUCACCCUUAUGCUUAAUGUGUCUCACGCACCUCAGUCUGAAGCAGUGCAUCUUUUUAGUUUUGAACUCUUUUGACAACGUUGUUAAUUCUGUAUGUUGAGGGUUCCAUGACUAUUUCAACCACUGUGAAGACUAGGGACCCUUACGUCAUUGUUAAAGCAAGGGAUCUAGCAAAGCUUUUGUCGAGGAGUACCCUGCACCUCAGGCAAUUAAAAUACUAAAUGAUGAUAUGCAAUGCGACGUCAUCAAAAUUGGUAACCUUGAACGCAACAAGUUUGGAACAAGAUAUAUAAGAGCUAAUAUACAAUUUUCCUCCUCCGCAGCAACCUAGCAAGAUUGACUUUCAAUUGGAAAGUGGUGAAUAUUUCCUGAGCGACAAAAAGAAACGGCAAAGAAAUGGCCAGAGAAGCUGGAGAAGCAGGCAGAAAAUGCUGCUGAAAACAAGAGAGAGAGAGGCCGCGUUUAUUUCACCAACAGUUGCUUUCGAACUUUUACAGUUUGCUAUUAUUUUAGAGCAGUGUAGUUUCUAUUAUGGAUUCUUUUGCCAGCUUCUUUUUCCCUCACGCAUUCCUUUUGGGUUGAAUAGGAAAACCCUGGACAUGCGGCUAAUUCUGCUAAAAUUAAUAAUGAGAAUAACGAUGUAGCUGCCAUUGCGAAGUCCUUAAAGAAAAAGGCGAAGGAUUUCCAAAAGAAUCAAGAGCAUGAAAACAUUAGAGCUGAAUUAUAAUACCGCCGGUGCCGGAGAACCGCGCUCCAAGAAGAAACACAAAUCUUCAAAAGCCUAAUUAACCGAAGGUCUCCACAAGGAGUUUGUAGCCUACUAAUCUCAUCCAAAAGUUUUAUUCUAAAAGUAGACUUAUGAACCUAAUAUUUGCAAAAAUAGGAUCGAAGUUGACACGUGGGUGGUGUGCUAGCGGAAACAGAUAAACGAGGUGAGACAUGUACCACUUUCACAUGAAAGCGGCAAAUCGUUUACAGCGUUCAUAUGUUUUAUAGAGCCUAAGAAGGCGAUGAAUGGUUCACCGCUUUUAUGUAGUCAAAGUCGAGAGACAACAGAGCAACAGAAAGUUAACUAAAGGCGGUGUAUCAUUUACUGCAUCUAUUUACUGCAUCUAAAGGGGGUGAAUUAUUUACCGUAUCUAAAGGUGGUAAAUCGUUUAUCAUUUUUAGAUGUAGUGAAUGGUUCACCGCUUUUAAUCUGUUUUCACACCACAGUAACAGAAAGCUGCAAAUUUUUCACAUUUUACAAAAUAAUAAUUUUGUUCA
Ananas comosus (pineapple) is the source of this 2562-nucleotide RNA transcript. RefSeq lists it as uncharacterized. The transcript has 5 exons. NCBI's taxonomy places the organism in Eukaryota, Viridiplantae, Streptophyta, Magnoliopsida, Poales, Bromeliaceae. The record is from RefSeq and is a predicted model, not a curated record.